GUUCAGAGGGUCAGACUCCUUCAGCAGAUCAGCAUCAUCCUCUUGCAGACCAUAAAAAGCAGUAUUAAACCUGUCAUGAUCACUGACUUUCUAACAAGGAAAAGUUCCAGAACAACAAAAUCUGCCUAUUGAUAUGAGAAAUUUUGGUUUUCACAUCAAUCAAGCACUUGAUACAUGGAACUUAUGGAUUUUCCUGGAAGAAGUGAACUGGAUUGCUAGACUGCAUAAAUUAUUACUUUCUAUAAUCCUGCACUGGGCUCCACAUUGCAAGAACAUGAGAAGUGCAUGGCCUGCAUGUAGCACCACGCUUCUGGACUCCAGCCACCACCCAUUAACAAAAAUUCCAGGCAAGGCAAUGUGAAGAAAUAUCCUGUUUCAGGGAAAAUUUCCUUGUUUCACAUCACACUGUCUUAAUAAACCACAGAUAUGAGCAGAACAAGGACAGCAAAGACAGUGAAACCUGAAGGUAAUGGUCAGUGUGUGAACGUCAGCUUCUGCCACCUCAGUAAUGGU
This is a long non-coding RNA of Passer domesticus (house sparrow), 513 nucleotides long. RefSeq lists it as uncharacterized. NCBI's taxonomy places the organism in Eukaryota, Metazoa, Chordata, Aves, Passeriformes, Passeridae. The transcript is spliced from 4 exons. The record is from RefSeq and is a predicted model, not a curated record.